This 74-nucleotide transfer RNA is filed under the name Camelus bactrianus (Bactrian camel). It matches the Rfam family "tRNA". From Rfam's summary of the family: Transfer RNA (tRNA) molecules are approximately 80 nucleotides in length. Their secondary structure includes four short double-helical elements and three loops (D, anti-codon, and T loops). Further hydrogen bonds mediate the characteristic L-shaped molecular structure. tRNAs have two regions of fundamental functional importance: the anti-codon, which is responsible for specific mRNA codon recognition, and the 3' end, to which the tRNAs corresponding amino acid is attached (by aminoacyl-tRNA synthetases). tRNAs cope with the degeneracy of the genetic code in two manners: having more than one tRNA (with a specific anti-codon) for a particular amino acid; and 'wobble' base-pairing, i.e. permitting non-standard base-pairing at the 3rd anti-codon position. Lineage: Eukaryota; Metazoa; Chordata; Mammalia; Artiodactyla; Camelidae. RNAcentral also lists the same sequence under 1 other name. The record is from Rfam by way of RNAcentral.
GAGGGUAUAGCUCACUGCUAGAGUGCGUGCCUAGUGGGCACAAGGACCUGGGUUCAAGCACCCCAGCACCUCCA